Molecule: ribosomal RNA, 398 nt
Filed under: uncultured bacterium
Lineage: Bacteria
Description: bacterial SSU rRNA
Rfam family: Archaeal small subunit ribosomal RNA
Source: RNAcentral
GUGUCAGCCGCCGCGGUAAUACCAGCACCCCGAGUGGUCGGGACGAUUAUUGGGCCUAAAGCAUCCGUAGCCGGUUCUACAAGUCUUCCGUUAAAUCCACCUGCUCAACAGAUGGGCUGCGGAGGAUACUAUAGAGCUAGGAGGCGGGAGAGGCAAGCGGUACUUAGUGGGUAGGGGUAAAAUCCGUUGAUCCAUUGAAGACCACCAGUGGCGAAGGCGGCUUGCCAGAACGCGCUCGACGGUGAGGGAUGAAAGCUGGGGGAGCAAACCGGAUUAGAUACCCGGGUAGUCCCAGCUGUAAACGAUGCAGACUCGGUGAUGAAUUGGCUUUAUGCCAAUUCAGUGCCGCAGGGAAGCCGUUAAGUUUGCCGCCUGGGGAGUACGGUCGCAAGACUGAA